UCACUACUAUCUAUUAUGUUCUGGCUUCUUUUGUUAUUUUGUUAUUUUUAUAGUAAUAGACUAUAGAGUACUACAUAUUUGCAUUGUAUAUUAGUAUAUUUCGUAUUUUAAAAAAACAAAUAUUUUUUUUUUCAAACAUAAAUAUGCCAAACUAUUGUUGUGUGCGAGAACUUCAUACCAUCUCCAAAACUAUUUUUAAAGUACCACAAAAUGAGGAUAUGAAGAAAAAGUGGGAAGAAGUGUUAGGAUUUACUAUUAAAAAAAGUUACCAUAUUUGAGCUACUCAUUUUGAAGACUCUGAUAUCAUCAGUAAAUGGAAGUCUGGUCAAGAGUCUAAUAAGUACACGAUAUGUUUGAAAAGACUUCAUUUAAAAAAAGGAGCAAUUCCUGUUCCUUGUAAAAAAAAGAUUUAUUCACAAACUUUGGAAAGUAUAAAAGAUAGUGAAUUAAAUAAGGCAUGCACAUCUAGCUUGGACAGCACAUUAGAUCUUCCUCAUACGGAUACCUUAAAUUCAUUUAAUUUAAGUUCUCCAAAUAUUGAUUUAAUAAAACAUGAUCACUUGUACUGUAUUCAGACAUUAUCA
Long non-coding RNA from Aphis gossypii (cotton aphid), 584 nucleotides. RefSeq lists it as uncharacterized. Lineage: Eukaryota; Metazoa; Arthropoda; Insecta; Hemiptera; Aphididae. The record is from RefSeq and is a predicted model, not a curated record. The transcript is spliced from 3 exons.